AGGACGAACGCUGGCGGCGUGCCUAACACAUGCAAGUGGAGCGACGAACCGGGGCUUGCCCCGGGGCAGAGCCGCGAACGGGUGAGUAACACGUGGGUUACCUGCCCCGAUGACUGGGACAACCCGUCGAAAGACGGGCUAAUACCGGAUGUGCCCCUUGGGGGAAAGGAAGCUUCGGCCUCCGCAUCGGGAUGGGCCCGCGGCGCAUUAGCUUGUUGGUGGGGUAAUGGCUUACCAAGGCGACGAUGCGUAGCUGGUCUGAGAGGACGAUCAGCCACACUGGGACUGAGACACGGCCCAGACUCCUACGGGAGGCAGCAGUGGGGAAUCUUGCACAAUGCGCGAAAGCGUGACGCAGCAACGCCGCGUGGGGGAAGACGGCUUUCGGGUUGUAAACCCCUUUCAGGAGGGACGAAGCCAGAGCGGUUAAUAGCCGACUCGGUGACGGUACCUCCAGAAGAACGCCCGGCUAACUACGUGCCAGCAGUCGC
RNAcentral lists this ribosomal RNA (491 nucleotides) under uncultured soil bacterium. RNAcentral describes it as "bacterial SSU rRNA". It matches the Rfam family "Bacterial small subunit ribosomal RNA", at positions 26 to 518 of the family's 1533-position model. The record is from RNAcentral.